CCCCGGUUUGCUCUCGCGUUCCCCGAACCCCCGAGCAAGCAGGUCUCCUUCCCCGCGGUUUGCAGGGGGGUUCGGGGAACGCGAGAGCAAACCGCGGGGAAGCAGGUCUCCUUCCCCGGUUUGCUCUCGCGUUCCCCGAACCCCCGUGCAAGCAGGUCUCCUUCCCCGGUUUGCUCUCGCGUUCCCCGAACCCCCGUGCAAGCAGGUCUCCUUCCCCGGUUUGCUCUCGCGUUCCCCGAACCCCCGUGCAAGCAGGUCUCCUUCCCCGGUUUGCUCUCGCGUUCCCCGAACCCCCGUGCAAGCAGGUCUCCUUCCCCGGUUUGCUCUCGCGUUCCCCGAACCCCCGUGCAAGCAGGUCUCCUUCCCCGGUUUGCUCUCGCGUUCCCCGAACCCCCGAGCAAGCAGGUCUCCUUCCCCGCGGUUUGC
Long non-coding RNA from Gopherus flavomarginatus (Mexican gopher tortoise), 426 nucleotides. RefSeq lists it as uncharacterized. Lineage: Eukaryota; Metazoa; Chordata; Testudines; Testudinidae. The transcript has 4 exons. The record is from RefSeq and is a predicted model, not a curated record.